RNAcentral lists this unclassified non-coding RNA (634 nucleotides) under Hevea brasiliensis (rubber tree). Lineage: Eukaryota; Viridiplantae; Streptophyta; Magnoliopsida; Malpighiales; Euphorbiaceae. The record is from RNAcentral.
GUUGCAGAAUUUAGUCUUGGAUGGCAUGUUAAACACCUCCAAACACUACUAAUCAACUGUGAUAAGGUCUAAUAUUACAUUAGUUUGAAUCUAAGUGAUGCUUCCCAUGCCAAUACGACACAACGUUGUUAUGGUGAUCCCAGAAGCCAGCUAUCUGCUUUCAUUUGCUGAUUAAGUGUAAAGAUAGGAGAAUAAUACUACUCAUUACAAUAGUUAAUGAAAAGUUGAUGAGGAAGUACUAAAAUCAAACAGUUCCACAAACUUCAGUUAUUAUCUAAGGCCAUGAAAGGCACAGUAGUUCUAAACAUCCACGCGUUCCAUUGACAAAGACAAUCACUGAACUUAGAAUUCAAAUGAUAGAAGAUACAUAGCUAGGUUCAGGUUUUGAUAGCGAGUGCACAAGCACAGCAAGCAUAGUACUUAAAACCAAAUACGAAUUUCAAACCCCUUACUACUGUGGAGAAGAAUCUGGCUGGCCCACUGAUGAAGACUUUGAUGCUUCCAUUACAACAUGAGCUUGAUCCAAACAGCUUUGAGUAUCAUCACCAAUAACUCCAAUGGUCAUCUUCUCCACUUCUUCUUGAGUAUAUAUAUGGAUCUUGGAUACCACAUUACAGAACUCAUGCCAUGGAUC